RNAcentral lists this ribosomal RNA (638 nucleotides) under uncultured bacterium. RNAcentral describes it as "bacterial SSU rRNA". It matches the Rfam family "Bacterial small subunit ribosomal RNA", at positions 607 to 1244 of the family's 1533-position model. The record is from RNAcentral.
GCUUAACCGGAGAAGUGCGUCGGAAACUGGGAGACUUGAGUGCAGAAGAGGACAGUGGAACUCCAUGUGUAGCGGUGGAAUGCGUAGAUAUAUGGAAGAACACCAGUGGCGAAGGCGGCUGUCUAGUCUGUAACUGACGCUGAGGCUCGAAAGCAUGGGUAGCGAACAGGAUUAGAUACCCUGGUAGUCCAUGCCGUAAACGAUGAGUGCUAAGUGUUGGAGGGUUUCCGCCCUUCAGUGCUGCAGCUAACGCAUUAAGCACUCCGCCUGGGGAGUACGACCGCAAGGUUGAAACUCAAAGGAAUUGACGGGGGCCCGCACAAGCGGUGGAGCAUGUGGUUUAAUUCGAAGCUACGCGAAGAACCUUACCAGGUCUUGACAUCUUCUGCCAAUCUUAGAGAUAAGACGUUCCCUUCGGGGACAGAAUGACAGGUGGUGCAUGGUUGUCGUCAGCUCGUGUCGUGAGAUGUUGGGUUAAGUCCCGCAACGAGCGCAACCCUUAUUAUCAGUUGCCAGCAUUCAGUUGGGCACUCUGGUGAGACUGCCGGUGACAAACCGGAGGAAGGUGGGGAUGACGUCAAAUCAUCAUGCCCCUUAUGACCUGGGGCUACACACGUGCUACAAUGGACGGUACAACG